AUAGCAUCUGUAGCAGUAGACUUUUCCAACAACUUUAACGAUCAAGGAAUGAUGAGGAGGAUAGUAAGGAGUUGGGGGUGGUGGUGAAGUGUAGUAGUAAGGUGGAGGAGGUGACUUAACUGGUGGUGGAGGGGAGGAGUAGUAGUAAGGUGGAGGAGGUGACUUAACUGGUGGGGGAGGGGAGGAGUAGUAGUAAGGAGGAGGAGGUGACUUAACUGGUGGUGGAGGGGAAGAGUAGUAGUACGGUGGUGGAGGUGACUUAACUGGUGGUGGAGGAGAGGAGUAGUAGUACGGUGGAGGAGGUGACUUAACUGGUGGUGGAGGGGAGGAGUAGUAGUACGGUGGAGGAGGUGACUUAGCAGGUGGUGGUGGGGACUUGUAAUAGUAAGGUGGUGGGGGAGAGGGUGAAGGGGGUGGUGGUGAUUUAUAGUAGUAUGGUGGAGGUGGUGAUGGAGAAGGUGGUGGGGGAGACUUGUAAUAAUAAGGUGGAGGUGGUGAAGGUGAAGGUGGUGGCGGGGAUUUGUAGUAAUAUGGUGGUGGAGGUGAUGGUGAAGGAGGUGGUGGUGAUUUAUAUACAUAUGGUGGUGGUGGAGAUGGUGAUGGAGGUGGUGGCGACUUGUACACAUACGGCGG
RNAcentral lists this long non-coding RNA (633 nucleotides) under Nicotiana tabacum (common tobacco). RNAcentral's name for it is "long non-coding RNA (NTAB_LNC000945)". Lineage: Eukaryota; Viridiplantae; Streptophyta; Magnoliopsida; Solanales; Solanaceae. The record is from RNAcentral.